Ornithodoros turicata is the source of this 574-nucleotide long non-coding RNA. RefSeq lists it as uncharacterized. The record is from RefSeq and is a predicted model, not a curated record. Lineage: Eukaryota; Metazoa; Arthropoda; Arachnida; Ixodida; Argasidae. The transcript is spliced from 5 exons.
CCGCUGCCGUCACUACUGCCUUGCAGUCGACUUCGGUGGCGCCGGCUGCUGACGAGCCUCGUCCGCAGGAAGGCGCAUCCGGUGUAGCCUGCACCAGCGUGCAGCUGCCGGAUAGGCUGUUUCCUGAUGCUUCAUCUCUUCUUUCUACUGACGACUCUGAGAUGGACCUUGCGGGCCCCUCGCCUUCGGCUGAAGGUCGGGCAGGAAUCAGCCCCGUAAGUUCUGGCAGCUGAUUUCGCCUCCUCUCGAGACUGGCUUUUGUUUACAAGAUGACUCCGGUUCGCUUGCGGGGAGAAACGGUUGCUCGACGGUCCUCAACCAAUACUUUGUGGGGCCAUAUAGAAAGUGCGACGAAUGAAACCAAGUAAGGAGUUGGCAGAACUGCAUUUGAGUGAAAUGUGGGAUUUCCAAGAAAGGACACACAAGUGACCUCUGGACAUGGACAUGGACAAGGACAUGCCGCCACAUCGGUUGGAAGUUCGACGUUCCCUGGCACUCCGUUCUCUGUGUUACUUUCGUCGUCUUCGCUGUUGUCAUGUACCAACCGGCCCCUCGUCUGCGUCUCUUAUUUAGA